CUCCCUUUCCCCCCGAGUGUACCUAGUGACUCUAAGGAACACAAAAGAAGGGAAUAGCGCAAAGUGGGGAAACUGGACCUCUUGGCUUCAGGAUGUCCCAAUUAAGUGCUAAUCGAGGGUACAGGCUUUGAAAUGCAGUUUUCAAUCGUUUCUCCUUCUAAAUAGAGGCUCUCGAAAACAAAGCCUAAGCAAAAGGCGUUCAUGGGUGAAACAAAGGAUGGGUGCUUUCUGUGUGCCGGGAACGCUGCAUUUUAAAAUCAAGUUCGGUCAUUCAUUUUAAGAAUGAGAGUUGUUGAUGAUGAGCCAUUGGACACUUGGGAGGCUGAGGCAAGAGGAUCAGGAGUUCAAGAACAUCCUUGGCUACACAGCAAGUCCUAGGCCAGCCUAGGCUAUUUAAGAGCCCAUCUCAGAGUGUAGGUGGGACAGAGACAUAUCAGUUCCAGCCUGUGUUCAUUCCUUUUUCUCUAAACAGAGGAACUUCCUGAAUGGAGCUUCAUAGUGGAAGUCACCUAAGUGGACCCUUUGAAGUCACCAAUACUUACUAUCAUUCCUAUAGAAUUCUAAGUUCAUCUUAAACCUACCUUCCUGCAUCCCUGAACAAGAAGGAGCAAGUAAUUGUUGAAGAGAUGGAAAAGAAGAGGAGGAGAACAGAGUUGCUUUACAGGCUUUGUAGCCAGUCAGCAGAAUGCUUGCCUUACAUUCAUGAAACUCUGGGUUUGAUCCUCAGCACAGAAAAAAAAAAAAAAACAUGGAUAAUCCAUGCAUGAAAUCCCAGCACUCAAGAGAUGGAAGCAGGAGGAUCAGAAAUUCAAGGUGACUCUCAGCUACAUAAUGGGCUUGAGGCUAGCCUGGGCUACACAAGAACCUGUCCAAAAAAAGAGAAAAAGCCUUUAGACCAUGCCCCAUGUUCAUAUUUGCUCAAUGAAGAAUAAACUGGGAAAUAAAUUUGUGCC
Molecule: long non-coding RNA, 953 nt
Filed under: Cricetulus griseus (Chinese hamster)
Lineage: Eukaryota; Metazoa; Chordata; Mammalia; Rodentia; Cricetidae
Description: lncRNA (ENSCGRG00015038373.1)
Source: RNAcentral